Molecule: small RNA, 2056 nt
Filed under: Pongo abelii (Sumatran orangutan)
Lineage: Eukaryota; Metazoa; Chordata; Mammalia; Primates; Hominidae
Description: processed transcript
Source: RNAcentral
ACUGUGGCGGUGACGGUGCUGGGAGACCCCGCGUGCGCUUUCCCCUUGAGAUGUAAACCGGGAACGGGGAAGGGGCUGAGGGGAGAAAGGACAUGGCCUUCCCCGCGAGUCCAUGGCCAGUGACUGUGGCCCGACUCGAAAACAACCCUCUUCUCAAAAGGGACCAUCACCGCCCCGAGCGUGCGCACACAGACCGGUCGGAGGCGAGACCUGGUCUUUACAGGACACAGUUCAGCUCCUCUGUGGAUGCGUCCCCAGAUCGCAGGAUUUCCAAGAAAUCGAGCCUGUCCCUUGUGCACUUGGGAAUAAUUCCCCAAGACAGCACUUCGGGAUUCCGGGUUAUCCUGAGGCUGCCCGGGACUCUUCCAGCUCUCCAGCCCCAGGUCUCCUGACAUUGUGUUCCAGGCUGCGGGCUAAGCCAGACAGUGUUUGCCUCCCGUUCUUUCCACCGUGGGAAGCGAACGCCACCCCCACCCGCCUUUGCCUGCGAGUCUCCCUCGCUGGCAGAAGGGAAGCCGGCCCAGUCCCGGGAGGAAGAUGGCGCAGCGAAUUCGAAUUUUAGAGUUGGAUCUUUGUCUCAUGGAUGCUCUUAGGAGACCCACCAACCACCAACUCCUGGUAUUGCAACUGGAACCCCUCGACCUGGGUGAAUGUACUCUUUUCAGCAACCAUAUCCUCCCUCCUCUUGCCAGGUAAGGUGAGAAGCAAUUCCUCUGCCUAGAAGCUCUGCUGGGUGAAAUAUCAGGAGAUCCCACCCAAGCUUUCUCUUGCGUGUAGCCUAUAUCCAGCACAGGAGCAUAGGCUCAUCCUGCAGUUGGCCAGCCUCUUGUCCUCUGGAUAUCCUGGGAGGGAAUCCUAAUGAAGGAAUCUCCAGUGGUUUACUGAAGCCCUUUGUGCUAGGCCUGAGGUGAGAUGGAAUUGCUCCAUCCUAUGCCCAGGAGGCCUGCGAGGACUCACAGUGCACCACCAUCCUCAGAAAUCCUCUCUCCCUGUAGGCUGUGGUCUGAAUCUUUGUGUCUUCCCAAAAUUCAUAUGUUGAAAUCCUAACCCCCCAGGUGAUAAUAUUAGAAGAUGGGGCCUUUCAGGAGUUGACUAAAACUUCAAGGAAAAGCUCUCACAAAUGGGAUUAGUUCCCUUAUAAAAUAGGUCCAAGGAAACUUGCUCACUUCUAACACCAUGUGAGGACACAGUGAGAAGGCACCAUCUAUAAGCCAGAAAGCUGUCCCUCACCAGACAUAGAUCUGCUGGCACCUUGAUCUUGGACUUCCCACCCUCCAGAACUGGGAGAAAUAAGUGUAAAUUGUUUAUAAGCUACACAGUUUAUGGUAUUAUGUUAUAGCAGCCCAAACAGACAUUGUAUUUCCUCAAUGUUGGUUUAAGAGUUGUCUAAACCAGUUUAUUAUCAUACUGUGGAUGUUUCUAGCUCUCACUGUAGCAUUCCAUCUCUUUUCUAUCUCAGUGACUUAGUCAAAGCAUCUAGUUGAACACUCUGUUAUUUAAAGAAACCAGCAUUCACUGGCUGUUCCCAGCUCCAGGAACUCAGGUGGAUUCAUAAUUUGUUCUGUUUCCUUGCACUUAGGAAAAGUACUGACAGCUCAUAAUUGGUUGUAUUUCUUAGGAUAUUUGCAUUUAAACUAGAAGCAAUGCUUUCUUUUCUUGGUAUAAUUUGUCUUACAUUUUUUAAAGUAAUAGCUAUUCAUUAAAUUACAUUUGAAAAUGCAGGAAGAAAGAAAAAAAUUGUCUAUAAUUCUACCACUCAUAUAAAACCACUAUUCACGUAUGGGUACUUUCCUCUAUUAACCUUUCAAAGCAUGUCUCAAUUUUAAUUGUAUUCACACAAAUACAAUUUUAUGUCAUACAUUUUACUUAUUAAUAUGCUAUUAGCAUCACCAAUGUCAAUAUAAACUCCAUGUAAACAUCAAUUUAAUGGUUGCAAAGUAUUAUAUCAACUGGAUAUGCCAUGGCUUAUUUAAUCACUGUAUUUAUUGUUAAAUAUUUGCAUUGUUUACACUGUUUGGUAUUGAAAACCAUGCUGCAAUAAAUAUCUUUGGAUAGA